RNAcentral lists this ribosomal RNA (497 nucleotides) under uncultured bacterium. Its description in RNAcentral is "partial 16S ribosomal RNA". It matches the Rfam family "Bacterial small subunit ribosomal RNA", at positions 28 to 507 of the family's 1533-position model. The record is from RNAcentral.
GAUGAACGCUGGCGGCGUGCCUAAUACAUGCAAGUCGAGCGAACAGACGAGGAGCUUGCUCCUCUGACGUUAGCGGCGGACGGGUGAGUAACACGUGGAUAACCUACCUAUAAGACUGGGAUAACUUCGGGAAACCGGAGCUAAUACCGGAUAAUAUAUUGAACCGCAUGGUUCAAUAGUGAAAGACGGUUUUGCUGUCACUUAUAGAUGGAUCCGCGCCGCAUUAGCUAGUUGGUAAGGUAACGGCUUACCAAGGCAACGAUGCGUAGCCGACCUGAGAGGGUGAUCGGCCACACUGGAACUGAGACACGGUCCAGACUCCUACGGGAGGCAGCAGUAGGGAAUCUUCCGCAAUGGGCGAAAGCCUGACGGAGCAACGCCGCGUGAGUGAUGAAGGUCUUCGGAUCGUAAAACUCUGUUACUAGGGAAGAACAAAUGUGUAAGUAACUAUGCACGUCUUGACGGCACCUAAUCAGAAAGCCACGGCUAACUACGUG